This 549-nucleotide ribosomal RNA is filed under the name uncultured bacterium. RNAcentral's name for it is "bacterial SSU rRNA". It matches the Rfam family "Bacterial small subunit ribosomal RNA", at positions 356 to 896 of the family's 1533-position model. The record is from RNAcentral.
AGGGAAUCUUCGGCAAUGGACGGAAGUCUGACCGAGCAACGCCGCGUGAGUGAAGAAGGUUUUCGGAUCGUAAAGCUCUGUUGUAAGAGAAGAACGAGUGUGAGAGUGGAAAGUUCACACUGUGACGGUAUCUUACCAGAAAGGGACGGCUAACUACGUGCCAGCAGCCGCGGUAAUACGUAGGUCCCGAGCGUUGUCCGGAUUUAUUGGGCGUAAAGCGAGCGCAGGCGGUUAGAUAAGUCUGAAGUUAAAGGCUGUGGCUUAACCAUAGUACGCUUUGGAAACUGUUUAACUUGAGUGCAAGAGGGGAGAGUGGAAUUCCAUGUGUAGCGGUGAAAUGCGUAGAUAUAUGGAGGAACACCGGUGGCGAAAGCGGCUCUCUGGCUUGUAACUGACGCUGAGGCUCGAAAGCGUGGGGAGCAAACAGGAUUAGAUACCCUGGUAGUCCACGCCGUAAACGAUGAGUGCUAGGUGUUAGACCCUUUCCGGGGUUUAGUGCCGCAGCCAACGCAUUAAGCACUCCGCCUGGGGAGUACGACCGCAAGGUUG